CAACGCCGCGUGGAGGAUGAAAGCCCCUUGGGGUGUAAACUCCUUUCGAUCGGGAAGAUAAUGACGGUACCGAUAUAAGAAGCCCCGGCUAACUUCGUGC
RNAcentral lists this ribosomal RNA (100 nucleotides) under uncultured bacterium. Its description in RNAcentral is "partial 16S ribosomal RNA". It matches the Rfam family "Bacterial small subunit ribosomal RNA", at positions 392 to 508 of the family's 1533-position model. The record is from RNAcentral.